UCAACCUCUCUUACAACCAUCAACAAAGCUAGAAAGAGGGACAACCAUAUGUAAGUGAAGGCAAUGCCAAAAUACCACAUCUUCAUAAGGGGCUUCCUCAAACUAUGGAUCUCAUAUUAACCAAAUUACCAGCCACGUGUCAAAAGCUCAUUACACUCAUUUUGAUUGCAAAAACUAUAAAUACCUUCCUUCCUACUUAAAAUCCAAUCAUCCAAAAAAAAAAAAGCAUCAUUACAACAACAUCUUCUUAAAUUAACUCUUAAGCAAAACCCAAUUUAUUGAAAAUGGAUACCUCCGACAAAAUGGGCUUCAAAGCUGGUGAGACCAAGGGCCAAGCCAAGGAGCAAGCCAGCAACAUGUCAGAGAAGGCUAGCAAUGCUGCUCAAUCUGCCAAGGAAUCGUGCCAAGAGACCGGGUCACAAAUGCAAGCUAAAGCAGAAGACGCCAUGGAGUCAAUGAAGGAUGCCAUGGGCAGCAAAUGAAGCAAAGAUUCUUAAGACAACUACGAAUUACUGGUUAUAUUUCAUGAUUCACUUAAGCUUGGAUGUGACAGCUUAAUUUACUAGUGCAACUUUCUUUUUUUUUUCUUAGUUUUGGGUUGGUUUUUUCCCCAAUGUAUGCUCUUUCUAUAGAGCUGCCUUUUUGUUGAAUAAGAAGCACUGCAAAUAAUGUAGUUGAUUGCUCUUCUCGGAUUAAUUAUACUACUAAUUAAUUAA
Long non-coding RNA from Beta vulgaris subsp. vulgaris (sugar beet), 716 nucleotides. RefSeq lists it as uncharacterized. NCBI's taxonomy places the organism in Eukaryota, Viridiplantae, Streptophyta, Magnoliopsida, Caryophyllales, Amaranthaceae. The transcript is spliced from 3 exons. The record is from RefSeq and is a predicted model, not a curated record.